GGGGCGCUGGCGCAACUGGUAGCGCGUCAGAUUCCAGUUAAUUUCGAGGUUCCCUUGAAAAUAUGCUUGAUUCCUGAAGGUUAUCCGUUCGAGUCGGGUGUGCCUCA
This 107-nucleotide transfer RNA is filed under the name Fusarium musae. RNAcentral's name for it is "tRNA-Trp". Lineage: Eukaryota; Fungi; Ascomycota; Sordariomycetes; Hypocreales; Nectriaceae. The record is from RNAcentral.